GAUGAACGCUAGCGGCAGGCCUAACACAUGCAAGUCGAGGGGUAGCAGGAUUAAGCUUGCUUAAUUGCUGACGACCGGCGCACGGGUGCGUAACGCGUAUGCAACCUACCUUAUACUGGGGUAUAGCCCGGAGAAAUUCGGAUUAAUCCCCCAUAGUACUAAUGAAUCGCAUGGUGUAUUAGUUAAAGCCUUGCGGUAUAAGAUGGGCAUGCGUCCUAUUAGCUAGAUGGUGAGGUAAAGGCUCACCAUGGCUACGAUAGGUAGGGGGCCUGGGGGGGUGGUCCCCCACACUGGUACGGAGACACGGACCAGACUCCUACGGGAGGCAGCAGUGAGGAAUAUUGGUCAAUGGGCGCAAGCCUGAACCAGCCAUGCCGCGUGCAGGAAGAAUGCCCUAUGGGUUGUAAACUGCUUUUAUUUGGGAAUAAACCUCUUUACGUGUAGAGAGCUGAAGGUACCAAAUGAAUAAGCACCGGCUAACUCCGUGCCAGCCGCCGCAGUAA
Molecule: ribosomal RNA, 503 nt
Filed under: uncultured bacterium
Lineage: Bacteria
Description: partial 16S ribosomal RNA
Rfam family: Bacterial small subunit ribosomal RNA
Source: RNAcentral